Molecule: ribosomal RNA, 440 nt
Filed under: uncultured bacterium
Lineage: Bacteria
Description: partial 16S ribosomal RNA
Rfam family: Bacterial small subunit ribosomal RNA
Source: RNAcentral
CCUACGGGAGGCUGCAGUGGGGGAUAUUGCACAAUGGGGGGAACCCUGAUGCAGCGACGCCGCGUGGGUGAAGGAGCGUUUCGGCGCGUAAAGCCCUAUCGGCAGGGAAGAAGAUGACGGUACCUGGCCAAGAAGCCCCGGCUAACUACGUGCCAGCAGCCGCGGUAAUACGUAGGGGGCAAGCGUUAUCCGGAUUUACUGGGUGUAAAGGGGGCGCAGACGGCAAUGCAAGCCAGGAGUGAAAGCCCGGGGCCCAACCCCGGGACUGCUUGUGGAACUGCAUGGCGGGAGUACAGGAGGGGCCGGGGGAAUUCCUAGUGGAGCGGGGAAAUGCGUAGAGAUUAGGAGGAACACCAGGGGCGAAGGGGGCCGACUGGACUGUAACUGACGUGGAGGCCCGAAGGCGUGGGGAGAAAACAGGAUUAGAUACCCCAGUAGUC